CUAUAAUACAGCAACCUUAUGGCUAUACACUUAGUUUUCAAAAGCUAAAUAUGAAGUAUGAAAUUGGAUACAAGUUGAGGGCUAGGCAAGCUUGAAGAGUGCACACUGGUGACAGUCAUUUGGCAGUGUUCUUUGGUACACACAUCCAGAUGAGGUUUGUUCGAAGCACAUCAGCCAUGACACUUUAACUGUCAAGAAGAGGCCACACGCAGAGGUCCUUCUCUUGCCAUGUGCUUCUGUGUCUUGUCAGUAUCAUGUCCAUAAGUAAAUAAAAAAAAGCAAACCCCAAACAAACAACUUUUUUUGUUCUUUAAAGGAAUCAGUACAGUGGAUAGAGCUGGAUUAUGAAGUCCCAGCAAUUUUUUUCCUGAAGCCCUUCCCAUCUCAGAGAUGUUACUCUGUUUUCAUGUUCUGCUUGUGGUUUUCUGUCUGCAGUUUAACUGUUCAUUUUUCAUCUGGUGAAUGCUUCCAGUGCAAGCCACUGACUGGACUUGCAGCCACAUUACUGUCUGCAGCACUUUGAAACCUUCUCCAGUUGUAUCACACAUUCCCAGAGAAAUUCCAGCUCUGACGGUGCUUCUAAUUGGUGUACAAGACAGAAUGCUGACUAAGGCUAAUAAAUCAGGCUGCAUAGAUGAAAGACUCACAUGGAGAAUGGUACGCUGUGCAUUAGGAUUGCAGAUAUCCUCUGGGAUCUGAACAGAGAAGGACUGUUUGAGAUGUGCACUCUGCUUGUCAAAGAGAAAUAAGUGCUGCAAUAAAAAGAGCAGUUGGAUAUCUAAACUCCUCUCA
This 792-nucleotide long non-coding RNA is filed under the name Cyanistes caeruleus (blue tit). RNAcentral describes it as "lncRNA (ENSCCEG00000012815.1)". The record is from RNAcentral. Lineage: Eukaryota; Metazoa; Chordata; Aves; Passeriformes; Paridae.